Molecule: ribosomal RNA, 119 nt
Filed under: Lupinus angustifolius (narrow-leaved blue lupine)
Lineage: Eukaryota; Viridiplantae; Streptophyta; Magnoliopsida; Fabales; Fabaceae
Source: RNAcentral
AGGAGCGAUCUUACCAGCACUAUUGUACUGGAUCCCAUCAGAACUUCGCGAUGGAGCGUUCUUGGGUGAGAGUAGUACUAGGAUGGGUGACCUCCUGAGAAGUCCUUGUGUUGCACUUC